GGGGGGGGGCAAGCGUUGUUCGGAAUUACUGGGCGUAAAGGGCGCGCAGGCGGCCCGGCCAGUCCUACGUGAAAUCCCACAGCUCAACUGUGGAACUGCGUGGGAUACUGCCAGGCUUGAGUCCGGGAGAGGAGAGUGGAAUUCCCAGUGUAGCGGUGAAAUGCGUAGAUAUUGGGAGGAACACCGGUGGCGAAGGCGGCUCUCUGGACCGGCACUGACGCUGAGGCGCGAAAGCUAGGGGAGCAAACGGGAUUAGAUACCCCGGUAGUCCUAGCCCUAAACGAUGAGCACUUUGUGUGGCGGGUAUCGACCCCUGCCGUGCAGAAGCUAACGCAUUAAGUGCUCCGCCUGGGGAGUACGGUCGCAAGGCUG
Molecule: ribosomal RNA, 372 nt
Filed under: uncultured organism
Description: partial 16S ribosomal RNA
Rfam family: Bacterial small subunit ribosomal RNA
Source: RNAcentral